UACGUAGGGAGCGAGCGUUGUCCGGAUUUAUUGGGCGUAAAGCGCGCGUAGGCGGUUUGGUAAGCCGGAUGUGAAACCUCCAAGCUCAGCUUGGAGCCGCCAUCCGGAACUGUCAUGACUUGAGUCAGGUAGGGGAACACGGAAUUCCAGGUGUAGCGGUGAAAUGCUUAGAUAUCUGGAGGAACACCAGUGGCGAAGGCGGUGUUCUGGGCCUGUACUGACGCUAAAGCGCGAAAGCGUGGGGAGCGAACAGG
RNAcentral lists this ribosomal RNA (254 nucleotides) under uncultured bacterium. RNAcentral's name for it is "partial 16S ribosomal RNA". It matches the Rfam family "Bacterial small subunit ribosomal RNA", at positions 524 to 776 of the family's 1533-position model. The record is from RNAcentral.